RNAcentral lists this ribosomal RNA (524 nucleotides) under uncultured bacterium. RNAcentral describes it as "bacterial SSU rRNA". It matches the Rfam family "Bacterial small subunit ribosomal RNA", at positions 355 to 896 of the family's 1533-position model. The record is from RNAcentral.
UGGGGAAUUUUGCGCAAUGGGGGAAACCCUGACGCAGCAACGCCGCGUGCGGGAUGAAGGCCUUCGGGUUGUAAACCGCUUUCAGUAGGGAAGAUAGUGACGGUACCUACACAAGAAGCUCCGGCUAAAUACGUGCCAGCAGCCGCGGUAAUACGUAUGGAGCAAGCGUUAUCCGGAUUCAUUGGGCGUAAAGCGCGCGUAGGCGGAUUGUUAAGUCGGGUCUGUUAAAUCCCAGAGCUCAACUCUGGGCCGCAGUCGAUACUGGCAGUCUUGAGUACGGUAGAGGAAAGUGGAAUUCCCGGUGUAGCGGUGGAAUGCGCAGAUAUCGGGAAGAACACCGGUGGCGAAGGCGGCUUUCUGGGCCGUUACUGACGCUGAGGCGCGAAAGCUAGGGGAGCGGACAGGAUUAGAUACCCUGGUAGUCCUAGCCGUAAACGAUGGACACUAGGUGUGGGGACAUGUAUGUUUCCGUGCCGCAGCUAACGCAUUAAGUGUCCCGCCUGGGGAGUACGGUCGCAAGACUA